AGUGAACGCUGGCGGUAGGCCUAACACAUGCAAGUCGAACGGCAGCACAGUAAGUGCUUGCUCUUACGGGUGGCGCGUGUCGGACGGGUGAGGUAUACAUCGGAAUCUACUUUUUCGUGGGGGCUAACGUAGGGAAACUUACGCUAGUACCGCAUACGACCUACGGGUGAAAGCAGGGGAUCUUCGGACCUUGCGCGUUUGAAUGAGCCGAUGUCGGAUUAGCUAGUUGGCGGGGUAAAGGCCCACCAAGGCGACGAUCCGUAGCUGGUCUGAGAGGAUGGACCGCCAGCCUGGAAGUGAGACACGGCACAGACACCUGCAGUAGGCCGCAGUGGGGAAUCUUGCACAAUGGGGGAAAGCCUAAUCCAGCCAUACCGCGUGGGUGAAGAAGGACUUCGGGUUGUAGAGUCCUGUUGUUGGGAAAGAAAAGCAGCAGGUUAAUACCCCGCUGUUCUGACGGUACCCGAAGAAUAAGCACCGGCUAACUUCGUG
RNAcentral lists this ribosomal RNA (492 nucleotides) under uncultured bacterium. Its description in RNAcentral is "partial 16S ribosomal RNA". It matches the Rfam family "Bacterial small subunit ribosomal RNA", at positions 29 to 507 of the family's 1533-position model. The record is from RNAcentral.